GACGAACGCUGGCGGCGUGCCUAAUACAUGCAAGUAGAACGCACAGUUUAUACCGUAGCUUGCUACACCAUAGACUGUGAGUUGCGAACGGGUGAGUAACGCGUAGGUAACCUGCCUGGUAGCGGGGGAUAACUAUUGGAAACGAUAGCUAAUACCGCAUAAUAUUAAUUAUUGCAUGAUAAUUAAUUGAAAGGUGCAAUUGCACCACUACCAGAUGGACCUGCGUUGUAUUAGCUAGUAGGUGAGGUAACGGCUCACCUAGGCGACGAUGCAUAGCCGACCUGAGAGGGUGAUCGGCCACACUGGGACUGAGACACGGCCCAGACUCCUACGGGAGGCAGCAGUAGGGAAUCUUCGGCAAUGGACGAAAGUCUGACCGAGCAACGCCGCGUGAGUGAAGAAGGUUUUCGGAUCGUAAAGCUCUGUUGUAAGAGAAGAACGGGUGUGAGAGUGGAAAGUUCACACUGUGACGGUAUCUUACCAGAAGGGGACGGCUAACUACGUG
RNAcentral lists this ribosomal RNA (505 nucleotides) under uncultured bacterium. RNAcentral's name for it is "partial 16S ribosomal RNA". It matches the Rfam family "Bacterial small subunit ribosomal RNA", at positions 28 to 507 of the family's 1533-position model. The record is from RNAcentral.